This 682-nucleotide ribosomal RNA is filed under the name Terribacillus aidingensis. RNAcentral describes it as "bacterial SSU rRNA". It matches the Rfam family "Bacterial small subunit ribosomal RNA", at positions 72 to 739 of the family's 1533-position model. Lineage: Bacteria; Bacillati; Bacillota; Bacilli; Caryophanales; Bacillaceae. The record is from RNAcentral.
UUCGGGGUGAUUCUGGUGGAAUGAGCGGCGGACGGGUGAGUAACACGUGGGCAACCUGCCUGUAAGACUGGGAUAACUUCGGGAAACCGGAGCUAAUACCGGAUAGUAUUUCCUUUCUCCUGAUUGGAAAUGGAAAGACGGUUUCGGCUGUCACUUACAGAUGGGCCCGCGGUGCAUUAGCUAGUUGGUGGGGUAAUGGCCCACCAAGGCGACGAUGCAUAGCCGACCUGAGAGGGUGAUCGGCCACACUGGGACUGAGACACGGCCCAGACUCCUACGGGAGGCAGCAGUAGGGAAUCUUCCGCAAUGGACGAAAGUCUGACGGAGCAACGCCGCGUGAGCGAUGAAGGCCUUCGGGUCGUAAAGCUCUGUUGUUAGGGAAGAACAAGUACGAGAGUAACUGCUCGUACCUUGACGGUACCUAACCAGAAAGCCCCGGCUAACUACGUGCCAGCAGCCGCGGUAAUACGUAGGGGGCAAGCGUUGUCCGGAAUUAUUGGGCGUAAAGGGCUCGUAGGCGGUUUCUUAAGUCUGAUGUGAAAGCCCACAGCUCAACUGUGGAGGGUCAUUGGAAACUGGGGAACUUGAGUGCAGAAGAGGAGAGUGGAAUUCCACGUGUAGCGGUGAAAUGCGUAGAUAUGUGGAGGAACACCAGUGGCGAAGGCGACUCUCUGGUCUGUAA